Molecule: ribosomal RNA, 895 nt
Rfam family: 5.8S ribosomal RNA (bases 263-417)
UCCGUAGGUGAACCUGCGGAAGGAUCAUUACCACACCUAAAAAACUUUCCACGUGAACCGUUUCAACCCAAUAGUUGGGGGUCUUAUUUGGCGGCGGCUGCUGGCUUAAUUGUUGGCGGCUGCUGCUGAGUGAGCCCUAUCAAAAAAAAAAGGCGAACGUUUGGGCUUCGGCCUGAUUUAGUAGUCUUUUUUUUCUUUUAAACCCAUUCCUUAAUACUGAAUAUACUGUGGGGACGAAAGUCUCUGCUUUUAACUAGAUAGCAACUUUCAGCAGUGGAUGUCUAGGCUCGCACAUCGAUGAAGAACGCUGCGAACUGCGAUACGUAAUGCGAAUUGCAGGAUUCAGUGAGUCAUCGAAAUUUUGAACGCAUAUUGCACUUCCGGGUUAGUCCUGGAAGUAUGCCUGUAUCAGUGUCCGUACAUUAAACUUGACUUUCUUCCUUCCGUGUAGUCGGUGGAGGAGAUGUCAGAUGUGAAGUGUCUUGCGAUUGGUCUUCGGACCGGCUGCGAGUCCUUUUAAAUGUACUAAACUGAACUUCUCUUUGCUCGAAAAGUGGUGGCGUUGCUGGUUGUGAAGGCUGCUAUUGUGGCAAAUUGGCGACUGGUUUGUCUGCUGCGGCAUUAAUGGAAGAGUGUUCGAUUCGUGGUAUGGUUGGCUUCGGCUGAACAAUGCACUUAUUGGACGUUUUUCCUGCUGUGGCGUGAUGGACUGGUGAACCAUAGCUCGGUGGCUUGGCUUUUGAAUUGGCUUUGCUGUUGCGAAGUAGGGUGGCAGCUUCGGUUGUCGAGGGUCGAUCCAUUUGGGAACUUAAUGUGUACUUCGGUAUGCAUCUCAAUUGGACCUGAUAUCAGGCAAGAUUACCCGCUGAACUUAAGCAUAUCAAUAAGCGGAGGA